CUUUAUGUUAUUAUGCUACUAAAUAGAUGAACAAACUUUAUAUUCAAAGUAUUAGUGAAUCCUCUUAAGCCUCUGGGCCUCUUCAUUUGGAGUCACACUUGGCUAUUUAGCGUUCAGAAGUUUCCAAAGCCUCAAAAAGUAUUUAUUUAUUUAUUCAUUUUUUCAGGAAAAACAAUCUAUUAUAUUUUUUGUUCAAUUAUAUUUUUUGAUUCUUAUUUACCUCUCCUUGAACUGUCACCUUAUCGUGGUGGAGAGGUUUGAGUACCCGAAUGAUCCUGGGAGCUAUGUUGUCUGGGGCUAUAUGCUCCUGGUAGGGUCUCCCAAGGCAAACAGGUCCUUGGUGACGGGCCAGACUAAGAACAGUUCACAAACCCCUUAUGUCAAAAUUUGUAUCAAGGACCGUGGCGUCGCCCGGCAUGGCGCAGCCGGGGCCCCACCCUGGAGCCAGGCCCGGGGUUGGGGCUUGUAUGCGAGCGCCUGGUGGCCGGGCCUUCCCCCGUGGCUCACCACCUGCAGGAGGGAGCGUAAGGGGCCGGUGCAUAGUGGAUCGAGUGACAGUCGUAGGCGAGACCCUCGACGACCCGUUCUCUGGACACGGAAUCUGGCUUUAGGGACGUGGAAUGUCACCUCGUUGGCGGGGAAGGAGCCUGAGCUUGUGUGGGAAGUCGAGAGGUACCGACUAGAGAUAGUCAGGCUCACCUCAACACACAGCUUGGGCUCUGGAACCACACUUCUUGAGAGAGGCUGGACUCUCGACCACUCUGGAGUUGCCCAUGGUGAGAGGCGGAGGGCUGGAGUGGGUUUGCUAAUAGCCCCCCAGCUCAGCCGCCAUAUGUUGGAGUUCACCCCGGUGAACGAGAGGGUCGCUUCCCUGUGCCUUCGAGUCGGGGAUAGGUCUCUCACUGUCGUUUGUGCCUACGGGCCGAACGGCAGUGCGGACUACCCGGCCCUCUUGGAGUCUCUGGGAGGGGUACUGGAAAGUGCUCCGACUGGAGACUCCAUCGUUCUACUGGGGGACUUCAAC
RNAcentral lists this long non-coding RNA (1024 nucleotides) under Carassius auratus (goldfish). RNAcentral describes it as "lncRNA (ENSCARG00000037481.1)". The record is from RNAcentral. Lineage: Eukaryota; Metazoa; Chordata; Actinopteri; Cypriniformes; Cyprinidae.